This 63-nucleotide transfer RNA is filed under the name Marmota monax (woodchuck). RNAcentral's name for it is "tRNA.Ala". Lineage: Eukaryota; Metazoa; Chordata; Mammalia; Rodentia; Sciuridae. The record is from RNAcentral.
UGCAGCUCAGUGGUAGUGCUUGCCUAGCAUGCACAAAGCCCUGGGUUCAAUUCCCAGCUGGAG